Molecule: long non-coding RNA, 429 nt
Filed under: Cyanistes caeruleus (blue tit)
Lineage: Eukaryota; Metazoa; Chordata; Aves; Passeriformes; Paridae
Description: lncRNA (ENSCCEG00000016598.1)
Source: RNAcentral
CAAAUGUAGUAGACAAGAUAAUUCUAUCCCUGUAGUAUAUUAAAUACUAAUGCAAUUAACGACAUCAACAUUAUGAGAUGAGUGUUAUGAAUGGCCAAGACUCAUGAGAAGUAAAAGAGGAGAAUCACUUCACUGGAGACCUGGCACCAGAAGACAGAACCCAUGAUAGGUCAGGGCUCAAGAUUGUUCUGAUUUGCAAUAUCAGAUGCCUGGAGACCUCUUCAGUGUCCAUCUACAAAACCUUUUGGGAAGAGUGGAAGGAACAUUCAGCAGACAGCAGUCACUGUAGAAGCCAAAUUCACCUCAGAAAGAGGGCAAGACAAGAUUUGCACAGAAAGAGGAUGCCAGGCAGGAUUAUAUCCAUUACCUAAUGAGUGCCUAAUGCCCAGGGUAGAGAGAGCCUGCACUUUCAUCUGACCUGAGAACAGC